GAGUUUGAUCGUGGCUCAGAGUGAACGCUGGCGGUAGGCCUAACACAUGCAAGUCGAACGGCAGCACAGUAAGAGCUUGCUCUUAUGGGUGGCGAGUGGCGGACGGGUGAGGAAUACAUCGGAAUCUACUUUUUCGUGGGGAUAACGUAGGGAAACUUACGCUAAUACCGCAUACGACCUACGGGUGAAAGCAGGGGAUCUUCGGACCUUGCGCGAUUGAAUGAGCCGAUGUCGGAUUAGCUAGUUGGCGGGGUAAAGGCCCACCAAGGCGACGAUCCGUAGCUGGUCUGAGAGGAUGAUCAGCCACACUGGAACUGAGACACGGUCCAGACUCCUACGGGAGGCAGCAGUGGGGAAUAUUGGACAAUGGGCGCAAGCCUGAUCCAGCCAUACCGCGUGGUGAAGAAGGCCUCGG
RNAcentral lists this ribosomal RNA (415 nucleotides) under uncultured microorganism. RNAcentral's name for it is "bacterial SSU rRNA". It matches the Rfam family "Bacterial small subunit ribosomal RNA", at positions 9 to 420 of the family's 1533-position model. The record is from RNAcentral.